RNAcentral lists this microRNA precursor (114 nucleotides) under Chlamydomonas reinhardtii. Its description in RNAcentral is "miR1149 stem-loop (cre-MIR1149)". The record is from miRBase by way of RNAcentral. Lineage: Eukaryota; Viridiplantae; Chlorophyta; Chlorophyceae; Chlamydomonadales; Chlamydomonadaceae.
CGACCGCCUCGGGCCCGCUAUGUCGGACAACACCGACCCCCAGCCCGCCAACAAGGAGAUGGCGUUGGCGGGCUGGGGUCGGUGUUGUCUGACAUGGAGGGUCCCAGGCAGUCG